Molecule: long non-coding RNA, 236 nt
Organism: Hypanus sabinus (Atlantic stingray)
Lineage: Eukaryota; Metazoa; Chordata; Chondrichthyes; Myliobatiformes; Dasyatidae
Exons: 3
Source: RefSeq, a predicted model, not a curated record
AAUAAAUUCAGUUCAGCGUUGCUGCUCGAUGCCUCUGAGCACAGACUCAGUCUAAUCAACCUGUUUGAAAAUGUGACCAUGGCAAGAACUCUCAGUCAGAUGUGAAUCUGAUAUUAAUGCUACAAUCAAGCACUUACAGUAUAAACAUUCAGAAAGACGGGAGCAGUCACAAAGACUGGAUGUGCUAAUGGCUGACCCUACAGCAAGCAUCGAGAUUACUGCACAGACAAACUUCU